This 103-nucleotide non-coding RNA is filed under the name Paraoerskovia marina. RNAcentral's name for it is "Glycine sequence". It matches the Rfam family "Glycine riboswitch aptamer". From Rfam's summary of the family: This family represents the bacterial glycine riboswitch. Glycine riboswitches usually consist of two metabolite-binding aptamers domains with similar structures in tandem. Lineage: Bacteria; Bacillati; Actinomycetota; Actinomycetes; Micrococcales; Cellulomonadaceae. The record is from Rfam by way of RNAcentral.
CGAAUCAUGACGGGAGAGUCCGGCAGGUCCACGUGACCGGGUCGGCGCCGAAGGAGCAAUCCCUCCCCGGGAAUCUCUCAGGCCCCCGUACCGUCAUGGCGAG